CUGCGCACUCCUUACGGGGGCAGCAGUGGGGAAUAUUGCACAAUGGGCGCAAGCCUGAUGCAGCCAUGCCGCGUGUAUGAAGAAGGCCUUCGGGUUGUAAAGUACUUUCAGCAGUGAGGAAGGUGGGUAUGUUAAUAGCAUACUCAUUUGACGUUUAGCUGCAGAAGAAGCACCGGCUAACUCCGUGCCAGCAGCCGCGGUAAUACGGAGGGUGCGAGCGUUAAUCGGAAUUACUGGGCGUAAAGCGCAUGCAGGUGGUUUGUUAAGUCAGAUGUGAAAGCCCGGGGCUCAACCUCGGAAUUGCAUUUGAAACUGGCAAACUAGAGUACUGUAGAGGGGGUAGAAUUUCAGGUGUAGCGGUGAAAUGCGUAGAGAUCUGAAGGAAUACCGGUGGCGAAGGCGGCCCCCUGGACAGAUACUGACACUCAGAUGCGAAAGCGUGGGGAGCAAACAGGAUUAGAUACCCUGGUAG
RNAcentral lists this ribosomal RNA (472 nucleotides) under uncultured bacterium. RNAcentral describes it as "bacterial SSU rRNA". It matches the Rfam family "Bacterial small subunit ribosomal RNA", at positions 329 to 793 of the family's 1533-position model. The record is from RNAcentral.